This 882-nucleotide long non-coding RNA is filed under the name Mytilus galloprovincialis (Mediterranean mussel). The record is from RNAcentral. Lineage: Eukaryota; Metazoa; Mollusca; Bivalvia; Mytilida; Mytilidae.
CUCAUUUCUUUCCACCAGAAAAUAUCUACGUGACCAGGCGAUUAAAGCAAUGUAUGCUGUAAUAAAAAAAUCCAGAUUAAAUAACUUGUCGAUCGAGUGCCAACUCGAUAUGUUUGAUAAAGCUAUUGUUCCUAUACUAACUUAUGGGUGUGAGAUAUGGGGAUUUGAAAAUUUAGAUAUUCUUGAGAGAGUUCAUUUGCGUUUUUGUAAACAUAUAUUGAGGUUAAAAAAUUCAACCCCCAAUUUUAUGGUCUAUGGGGAAUUGGGAAGAUACCCGAUUUCAGUUACCGUCAAGUCACGUAUGAUUAAUUUCUGGUGUCGUUUACAAGAAGGAAAGAGAGCAAACUAUCAUGUUUAUUAUAUAAGCUGUUAUAUGUAAAUCUCAAUAACUAUGGUUAUGAUAGUAAAUGGAUAUUAUAUAUAAAGAAAAUUUUUGAUGACUGUGGAAUUUCAAAUAUAUGGCAAAGUCACAACUUAUUUGAGAAACGUUGGGUUGUAUUGAGUGUUCAGCAAAGAUUAAGAGAUCAGUUCAUUCAAGAAUGGUCAACAGAAAUGAACCAUUCGCCCAAGGGGCUGUGUUAUAGAUUGUACAAAAAUGUUUUUAAAUUUGAACACUAUUUAUCAGUACUACCAUUUAAUCUAUUAAUAACCUUAUGUAAAUUUAGAUGUGGGAACAACCGUUUGCCCAUUGAGACGGGAAGGUGACGCAACAUCCCAAGAUCUGAAAGAUUGUGUCACCUUUGCGCCUCAGCUGACAUUGGUGAUGAAUACCAUUAUAUCAUGUCAUGUAAUUAUUUCAAAGAUGAAAGAUGCAAAUACUUACCACAAUAUUGUAAUAAAAGUAUAAAUGUUAUCAAAUUCAAACAAGUAUGUUCAACCCAA